UAACUACUCCCUCCGUUCGGAAUUAUUUGUCGCAGAAAUGGAUGUAUCUAGACGUAUUUUAGUUCUAGAUACAUCAAUUUCCGAGACAAGUAAUUCCGAACGGAGGGAGUAGCUA
This is a non-coding RNA of Triticum aestivum (bread wheat), 115 nucleotides long. Lineage: Eukaryota; Viridiplantae; Streptophyta; Magnoliopsida; Poales; Poaceae. The record is from Rfam.